GAGCCCGCGGGGUGGGAUGUUGACCUCGGGGGCACCUGGGUGAGGGAGCCCCGGGGUCCUGGCCAUGUUGCAUGACCCUCCUAAACCUGGAACUGUCAGCCUUAUGGAGGAGUAAAGACGUAGGCAAGCUCGGGAGGGGUAAAUCGGAACCAUUUCUCGGCCGGGGGGCGCUUGGUGGGUGUCAGUGGAAAGCCGCGAGGGUGAGCCGUUGGAUUGCCUCGUGCUUCUCCUGUUUCUGCCAAGAGUUCACAGGACUGGGGCCCUCACUGAAUUGGAGCUACCUGCGCCAUUGGCCCGCUCUGCAAUGGCAUCCUCCCCUCUCCCCGCUCUCUCUCCGGCCCCUGCCAGGCCUCCCCUGUCUGGGUACAGGCUGCCUCCUGCACCUGUCAAGUUCCAGGCCAGUUCCAGGAACUGCAGUCGGAUUGGUGUUGUUGGGGUACAGUGUCACCCAUGGUGGCCAGCAUCGGCCAUUGAGGGCAACUCCAGAGAGUGGAAGAUCCUCUCAGCUGGGUGGAGUCCUGGACACCUGCUGAGAUGCUGUCAGUCUAAGCACUGGACGGACUGAUGCAAUCAAAGGCUGGGCCAUGAGGCUUUGACUGCUCAAGUGGUGGGAAUUUCUUGUCCCUGUCCCCCUGCAAGUUCUGAUCUGCACUUGCCUCAGCCUCUUGUGCAGACACCGAGCCCUCUCCAGCAGCUCACGGAGAGGGCCAAAGUUCAACACAUCUCUGGAGCAGCAACCCUUUUCUUGGCAGGGAAAGGCCAAUUCACUGAGGCCAUGUGUAAUGCUUUAGCAAACUUCCUGGAGUACCACCUGAUGUUUUCCCCCGGAGUCUAGCCCUCAGCUUUGACUGUUGGGGAAUUGCCCCUUGGACUGGGCGUAAUAAUGCCGGCUCUGGCUCACCAGCGUCUGGAAGGAGUUGCUCUGCUCUGGAGGCUGUUUCCAUCCCUUGUGUCCGAGUGGAAAGAUCCCAGAUGGCGCCGCUGUGUCUUCCCAACUCCACGUUCCGGGGCGUUGUGUUGGCAGCUCGGAAUCAGCCAUGAGGGAGUAUUCACACCACAGAAAAUGGCAGAUGCCCCAGACCAGGGCUUCAUUUAUUAUUUUGGUGGUCAACUAGAUUUAAAAAAUUGAGGGAAAAAAAUGUUAAUAAUGCAGAUGAAACGUUAAAGUGUGUCAUGUCUGUAGCCUUACCUUCUGAAUAGCAUAACAAUUCAAGGGUGUACUCUUCCUGCAUUCAAAAGCUGUUAUCUGAUUCAACAAAGAAGUAGCUCACAUCAUUCACAGAUGAACCAACGAAUGAAGUUCUGACACAUCUUCAUUGUUUCACUCUUGUCUCACUCGUGACAGUAAAUGAAGAGAUGGACAAACGUCCAUGCAAGGAUGACACUGAGAAAGCCUGUUAAUGUCCCUGAGCACCCCCCUGGCCUGAUUCCCGACUGCUGCUGCUCGGCCCUGCCCAGCUGUCCUUGCUCACCCCGCAGGGGCCUGGGGACAGGUCUCAGCUAAAGGGAUGACUCCAAGGCAGAAGGCAGGAGCAAGGAGACUUCAGCAGAAGGGCCGCCAGAGCUUGGGGCUGGCACUCCUUGGGUCAGCAGCCUCAACGCAGCAGCACUCAGCACCCAGGCAGACCACAAAAGAAAUGGGACAGUUUAGUGACAACUUGGAGAGUGAGAGGUGCCCUGCAGAGUCAGCAGGGGUUGUGGGGCCUCCUGAGACACAGAGUUGAUGCCCUUGAAGGGAAAUCUCUGGAUCUCUCCCUCUCUAGCCUGCAGUGGCCAUCACCUCCACCACACCCUGCCCAGGUCCAGU
This is a long non-coding RNA of Choloepus didactylus (southern two-toed sloth), 1807 nucleotides long. RefSeq lists it as uncharacterized. The transcript has 5 exons. Lineage: Eukaryota; Metazoa; Chordata; Mammalia; Pilosa; Megalonychidae. The record is from RefSeq and is a predicted model, not a curated record.